CCCAUUGCAAGAAAAUAUUUAGACGAACGACAUAAAAAGUUCACAAGGGAAUAAAUAAAACAUACAUAUAGUUCAAACUAAAUGUAUUCCAUAACAAAUUGUGAUUAUAAAACAUUAGAAGAAAAUUACAAUUUAAUUUUAACUUUCCGAUCCCUCAUUGCUUGAUACCGAUUGAUGAUGUCAUUAUCUUUGACUUGCAAAAAGAACUGACGCUCAAUGAAGGUUACCAAACAAUCAUUCAAGUACUGAUCUCCCAUCCUAUUUCUCAACUUGUUCUUCACAUGAUUCAUUAUUGAAAACACUCUCUCUACGGUAGCAGUUGCUACAGGUAACACUAGCACAAAUUUGAGAAGUCUGUACACAAGAUCAUGUUUGUUGUGCUUAUUUGUCUAAACCAAAUGUCAUUUUUGACUUCUUCAUGUCAACUGUGUGAGAUUGAAAUGCAUCCACUAGCAAUUUUGAUACAUUGAGCAGUCAAUGUACACAG
This 487-nucleotide long non-coding RNA is filed under the name Setaria italica (foxtail millet). RNAcentral's name for it is "long non-coding RNA (SITA_LNC005116)". Lineage: Eukaryota; Viridiplantae; Streptophyta; Magnoliopsida; Poales; Poaceae. The record is from RNAcentral.